This 535-nucleotide ribosomal RNA is filed under the name fungal sp. RNAcentral's name for it is "eukaryotic LSU rRNA". The stretch from base 186 to 339 matches the Rfam family "5.8S ribosomal RNA". The record is from RNAcentral. Lineage: Eukaryota; Fungi.
UACCUGCGGAGGGAUCAUUACACAAAUAUGAAGGCGGGCUGGAACCUCUCGGGGUUACAGCCUUGCUGAAUUAUUCACCCUUGUCUUUUGCGUACUUCUUGUUUCCUUGGUGGGUUCGCCCACCACUAGGACAAACAUAAACCUUUUGUAAUUGCAAUCAGCGUCAGUAACAAAUUAAUAAUUACAACUUUCAACAACGGAUCUCUUGGUUCUGGCAUCGAUGAAGAACGCAGCGAAAUGCGAUAAGUAGUGUGAAUUGCAGAAUUCAGUGAAUCAUCGAAUCUUUGAACGCACAUUGCGCCCUUUGGUAUUCCAAAGGGCAUGCCUGUUCGAGCGUCAUUUGUACCCUCAAGCUUUGCUUGGUGUUGGGCGUCUUGUCUCUAGCUUUGCUGGAGACUCGCCUUAAAGUAAUUGGCAGCCGGCCUACUGGUUUCGGAGCGCAGCACAAGUCGCACUCUCUAUCAGCAAAGGUCUAGCAUCCAUUAAGCCUUUUUUUUCAACUUUGACCUCGGAUCCAGGUAGGAUUCCCGUUUCU